CGGAAUUCGUGCGGUCCCGUCUCGAUACCAUUGUAACACAGCAAAGGCGUAACCCGGGAUGCUCAGAUUGGCAUUUGCGUCGUUACACAAAGCACCUGGCUAUAUAAAUCCGCAGACGGAGUAAUAAGCAAUCGGCAGUCAUCCGUCGGCGGGAUUGAUACAUACAUUUAAUUUAUUUGCGGUAUGUAGCGCGCCGCCGUCGCUUUCGUGGCUCCUUUGCAACGCUCUUGCAAUGGUUAUUUCCUGGCUAGUAGUAACCGCAUCGCCCUUCUAUUCAGUGAAGUCCUGCAUACGUACCUCCAACAUGUCGUCACGACAAUGUCCAAAGUAUUGGGGUUCGUUUGGCUGACGCGGUACUCGAUUAUGCCGGCGCGGAAGUGCGUCGACCUCACUUCACCGAACUGCGCAAUGAGCGCCAACACUAAAACCGAAAGGAGAUAUGCCGUUCCUCGUGAUCGUCGCAUCGUCGCUAACUAUUAAUUAAUGUUGGUUCUGGAUAUGACGGUGAGAUGAUGUGAUAUUAAUAGUGCCGAUAGGAUUAAUCGAUGUAUCAUGCACCGCAUCUCCGUCUCCGGGUGCCACUAUUCCGUUUCCUCUCAUAUAAACAGAAACACUUCGAAUUUAUCCAUCCGUGGUGCAGUACAUGAUAACUAUGCUGCCUGUAGCAACCACUCGUCCAUCACACGUCCGUUCUCGUUCGCUUUAAACAUUUCAAUCGUGUACAGACCGUCUAUUUUCAGGCCUGCCUUGUUGUACUCGUAUCGGCCAGACUUCCUGAUAACUCUUUGUAAUCUUGAUUAGGAUCCUGCCUGCCGCAGCGCGUUAAGUAGUAGCUGGCUUCCAAUGCAACCGCUAUUUAAAUUGCGCGCUUGUCCUUUUGUUGGGUGUUACCGCUCAUUAUUACGCUACCCUAUCAUUUGCCAAAAUUAAAGCCAUUACCGUUGUGCCAAUAAAAUCGAUGACACACAAUUGGGAUGCCAUCACCAAUGUUGUAGCAAGUGUAAUGUGGAAGGGAGAAAGAGAGGGGAAGGGAAAAGGAAAUGUUGCGAAGUCCUGUCGAGGGUGCCUGGGGGCAGCGUUUUUUUUUUGAAGUAAUGUAAUCCUUAAAAUUAAGUAAUGUAAUCCUUAAAAUUAAGUAAUGUAAUCCUUAAAAUUAAGUAAUGUAAUCCUUAAAAUUAAG
RNAcentral lists this long non-coding RNA (1180 nucleotides) under Volvox carteri. RNAcentral describes it as "long non-coding RNA (VCAR_LNC000736)". The record is from RNAcentral. Lineage: Eukaryota; Viridiplantae; Chlorophyta; Chlorophyceae; Chlamydomonadales; Volvocaceae.